UGGUAUGGAAACUCGCCAAGUGAGAACUUUCAAAUUCAGAGAAACUCCGGAAUUAAUAAAAGGGGGCAAUCCUGAGCCAAAUCUUGUUUUCUGAAAGCAAAAGUUCAGAAAGUGAAAAAAAAAAGGGAUAGGUGCAGAGACUCAAUGGAAGCUGUUCUAACAAAUGGAGUUGGUUGCGGUAGUAGAGAAGUCUUUCCAUCAAAAAUUCAGAAAAAUUCAUAAGUAUUAAGUUAGUUAAGGAUGAGGUGCAUAUAUAUAAUAUAUAUGUAGUCAAUCGUAUAUUAAACGAUUAAUGACAGACCGAAUGAAUUUAUGUUUUUUCUAUGAAAAAAAAAAAGAAUUGGUGUGAAUAGAUUCUACGUUGAGGAAAGAAUCGAAUAUUCAUUGAUCAAAUGAUUCACUCCAUAGUCUGAUAAAUCUUUUCAAGAACUGAUUAAUUAGAUGAGAAUAAAGAUAGAGUCCCAUUCUACAUGUCAAUGCCGGCAGUAAUGAAAUUUAUAGUUAAGAGGAAAAUCCGUCGACUUUAAAAAUCGUGAGGGUUCAAGUCCCUCUAUCCCCAACUAAACUAUCUAUUUAUCUAUCCUUCUUUUUGUUAUCGGUUCAAAAUUCCUUAUCCAUUCACUUUAUUCUCUUAGAAUUGAUCGGUGCGGAAAUGCCCUUUUUUCUUAUCAAUGAUAUACAUACAAAUGAACAUCCUUAAGCAAGAAAUACUCAUUUGAAUGAUUUACAAUCUAUUAAUUACUAAUACGGAAACUCCCAAAGUCCUCUUUUUUAAGAUCCAAGCCAAGCAAUUUAAGUAUCUAAAUAAAACUUUGGAAUUCCCUCUCCUUCUUUUAAUUGACACAGCCCCCAUUUUCGAGUAAAAUGAGGAUGCUAUGUUGCGACUGGUCGGGAUAGCUCAGCUGGUAGAGCAGAGGACUGAAAAUCCUCGUGUC
This 935-nucleotide unclassified non-coding RNA is filed under the name Psychotria pittieri. RNAcentral's name for it is "partial contains trnL gene and trnL-F intergenic spacer". The stretch from base 1 to 483 matches the Rfam family "Group I catalytic intron". Rfam says of the family: Group I catalytic introns are large self-splicing ribozymes. The record is from RNAcentral. Lineage: Eukaryota; Viridiplantae; Streptophyta; Magnoliopsida; Gentianales; Rubiaceae.